CUUAACGCGAAGAACUUACCUGGUCUUGACAUCCAGAGAAUUUAGCAGAGAUGCUUUGGUGCCUUCGGGAACUGUGAGACAGGUGCUGCAUGGCUGUCGUCAGCUCGUGUUGUGAAAUGUUGGGUUAAGUCCCGCAACGAGCGCAACCCUUAUCCUUUGUUGCCAGCGAUUCGGUCGGGAACUCAAAGGAGACUGCCGGUGAUAAACCGGAGGAAGGUGGGGAUGACGUCAAGUCAUCAUGGCCCUUACGAGCAGGGCUACACACGUGCUACAAUGGCGCAUACAAAGAGAAGCGACCUCGCGAGAGCAAGCGGACCUCAUAAAGUGCGUCGUAGUCCGGAUCGGAGUCUGCAACUCGACUCCGUGAAGUCGGAAUCGGCUAGUAAUCGUAGAUCAGAAUGCCACGGGAAUACGACGU
Molecule: ribosomal RNA, 418 nt
Filed under: Pantoea ananatis
Lineage: Bacteria; Pseudomonadati; Pseudomonadota; Gammaproteobacteria; Enterobacterales; Erwiniaceae
Description: bacterial SSU rRNA
Rfam family: Bacterial small subunit ribosomal RNA
Source: RNAcentral